ACUUAAUGUCACGGUACCCAAUUUUCUGCCCC
Molecule: unclassified non-coding RNA, 32 nt
Filed under: Candidatus Scalindua brodae
Lineage: Bacteria; Pseudomonadati; Planctomycetota; Candidatus Brocadiia; Candidatus Brocadiales; Candidatus Scalinduaceae
Description: RNA (32-MER) from Candidatus Scalindua brodae (PDB 8GNA, chain C)
Source: RNAcentral